This 74-nucleotide transfer RNA is filed under the name Nanobdellota archaeon. RNAcentral describes it as "tRNA-Met". It matches the Rfam family "tRNA". Rfam says of the family: Transfer RNA (tRNA) molecules are approximately 80 nucleotides in length. Their secondary structure includes four short double-helical elements and three loops (D, anti-codon, and T loops). Further hydrogen bonds mediate the characteristic L-shaped molecular structure. tRNAs have two regions of fundamental functional importance: the anti-codon, which is responsible for specific mRNA codon recognition, and the 3' end, to which the tRNAs corresponding amino acid is attached (by aminoacyl-tRNA synthetases). tRNAs cope with the degeneracy of the genetic code in two manners: having more than one tRNA (with a specific anti-codon) for a particular amino acid; and 'wobble' base-pairing, i.e. permitting non-standard base-pairing at the 3rd anti-codon position. The record is from RNAcentral. Lineage: Archaea; Nanobdellati; Nanobdellota.
GGCGUUGUUGUUUAGUCUGGUAAAACCCGAGUCUCAUGAGCUCGUGAUCGGGGGUUCAAAUCCCCUCAACGCCA